GACGAACGCUGGCGGCGUGCUUAACACAUGCAAGUCGAACGGAAAGGCCCUGCUCUUGUGGGGUGCUCGAGUGGCGAACGGGUGAGUAACACGUGAGUAACCUGCCCUUGACUUUGGGAUAACUUCAGGAAACUGGGGCUAAUACCGGAUAGGAGCUCCUGCUGCAUGGUGGGGGUUGGAAAGUUUCGGCGGUUGGGGAUGGACUCGCGGCUUAUGAGCUUGUUGGUGGGGUAGUGGCUUACCAAGGCUUUGACGGGUAGCCGGCCUGAGAGGGUGACCGGGGACAUUGGGACUGAGGUACGGCCCAGAAGCCUACCGGAGGCAACAGUGGAGAAUAUUGCACAAUGGGCGGAAGCCUGUUGCGGCAACGCCGCGUUCGGGAUGACGGCCUUCGGGGUGUAAACCGCUUUCGCCUGUGACGAAGCGUGAGUGACGGUAAUGGGUAAAGAAGCACCGGCUAACUACGUG
RNAcentral lists this ribosomal RNA (468 nucleotides) under uncultured bacterium. RNAcentral's name for it is "partial 16S ribosomal RNA". It matches the Rfam family "Bacterial small subunit ribosomal RNA", at positions 28 to 507 of the family's 1533-position model. The record is from RNAcentral.